Molecule: long non-coding RNA, 588 nt
Organism: Pan troglodytes (chimpanzee)
Lineage: Eukaryota; Metazoa; Chordata; Mammalia; Primates; Hominidae
Exons: 2
Source: RefSeq, a predicted model, not a curated record
CAUGAAUGUUAAGAGUAAAGAUAAACAACUUUUUAGCUAAAAAUUACAUUCAAGCUAUACCUUGACAAAUAAGGAUGUGAAUUGACAAUGUGUGUGUGUGUUUGCCUGUGUUUGCUUGUAUAGAGGUUACAUGUAAGCUUCCUACAAAAUGCAAAAGUACAAAAGGUGUUGCAGUGAAAAGUAAGUUUCCCUGAAAUCUCUGACCCCGUGUACCAGUUCUUCCACCCAGGAUCCCUUGUUGCAAGUUUCUCCCCUCCACUACCACCUGGAGCUAUUCUGUGCAUGUGGAAUUAAGAUUCCAAUUGAAGAUGGAGGGAGAGGCUGGAGAGAGGCAAUUCCAAAACAGAGAACUACACAUGCAAAGCCGUCGAGGUGAAGAAGUGGAGAAACGUGAGGGAAAAAGUUUUGGCUUCCUUGUCCUGCCUUCUGCCAUGUGAGGACACAGCACGUCUAUCCCUCCAGAGGGUACAGCAUCAAGGUGCCAUCUUGGAAGCAGAAGGCAGCCCUCACCAGACAACUGGCACCUUGACCUUGGACUUCCCGGCCUCCAAAAUUGUGAGAAAAUAAAUUUCUGUUCUUAAUAAAUUA